AACGAAGUAAUUCCGGAGGAAUCCAAUGAACAACAACGAUUACUUAGGAUCAGCUUGCGAAUUUGCAGCACCGUAGUAGAAUCAUUACCAACGGCACGCUGUGCGCCUAAGUGCGAAAAGACAGUGCAAGCUUUGUUAUGCCGAAACCUAAAUGUAAAGUCAGCAACACUUCUAAAUGCCACUUCUUCCCGCCGCAUCCGUCUUCAGGACGAUGUAGUCACAGGUUUUCACUUUUCAGUGAGUGAAAGAUUUGUAUCCGGGUCUACGUUCAAAGCUUCUACCAUAGACCUAAUUCGAGAAGGCUUGAUAGUCCUAAGAAAGGUGAGGGUGGGGGGUUCUAUUUAG
RNAcentral lists this ribosomal RNA (345 nucleotides) under Triticum aestivum (bread wheat). RNAcentral describes it as "partial small subunit ribosomal RNA". The record is from RNAcentral. Lineage: Eukaryota; Viridiplantae; Streptophyta; Magnoliopsida; Poales; Poaceae.